CUAAGGUGGGAGGAUCCCUUGAGCCCAGAAUUUCAUGACCAGCCUGGGCAACAUAGCAAGACCCUGGUUCUACAAAUAGUUUUGCAGUUAGCUGGGCGUGGUGGUG
Molecule: long non-coding RNA, 106 nt
Organism: Sapajus apella (tufted capuchin)
Lineage: Eukaryota; Metazoa; Chordata; Mammalia; Primates; Cebidae
Exons: 3
Source: RefSeq, a predicted model, not a curated record